GACGAACGCUGGCGGCGUGCUUAACACAUGCAAGUCGAACGGAAAGGCCCUGCUUUUGUGGGGUGCUCGAGUGGCGAACGGGUGAGUAACACGUGAGUAACCUGCCCUUGACUUUGGGAUAACUUCAGGAAACUGGGGCUAAUACCGGAUAGGAGCUCCUGCUGCAUGGUGGGGGUUGGAAAGUUUCGGCGGUUGGGGAUGGACUCGCGGCUUAUCAGCUUGUUGGUGGGGUAGUGGCUUACCAAGGCUUGGACGGGUAGCCGGCCUGAGAGGGUGACCGGCCACAGUGGGACUGAGAUACGGCCCAGACUCCUACGGGAGGCAGCAGUGGGGAAUAGUGCACAAUGGGCGGAAGCAGGAUGGAGCAACGCCGCGUGCGGGAUGACGGCCUUCGGGUUGUAAACCGCUUUCGACUGUGACGAAGCGUGAGUGACGGUAAUGGGUAAAGAAGCACCGGCUAACUACGU
This 467-nucleotide ribosomal RNA is filed under the name uncultured bacterium. Its description in RNAcentral is "partial 16S ribosomal RNA". It matches the Rfam family "Bacterial small subunit ribosomal RNA", at positions 28 to 506 of the family's 1533-position model. The record is from RNAcentral.